RNAcentral lists this unclassified non-coding RNA (200 nucleotides) under soil metagenome. Its description in RNAcentral is "partial contains internal transcribed spacer 2 and large subunit ribosomal RNA". The record is from RNAcentral.
GCUCAGCUUGGUAAUGGGCCGUCACCUCCGGUCUACCGGAGGCGUGCCCCAAAACAGUCGGCAGGACCACGCGGACCGCCGGGCGUAGCAGAUUGUAACGUCCGUGGCGACCGCGCUCCCAGCCGUAAAGCCCAGAGGUCCUCGCGACUUCUACUUCUAAGGUUGACCUCGGAUCAGGUAGGAAUACCCGCUGAACUUAA